GUCAGCUCGUGUCGUGAGAUGUUGGGUUAAGUCCCGCAACGAGCGCAACCCUUGAUCUUAGUUGCCAGCAUUCAGUUGGGCACUCUAAGAUGACUGCCGGUGACAAACCGGAGGAAGGUGGGGAUGACGUCAAAUCAUCAUGCCCCUUAUGACCUGGGCUACACACGUGCUACAAUGGACGGUACAAAGGGCAGCAAGACCGCGAGGUUUAGCCAAUCCCAUAAAACCGUUCUCAGUUCGGAUUGUAGGCUGCAACUCGCCUACAUGAAGCUGGAAUCGCUAGUAAUCGCGGAUCAGCAUGCCGCGGU
Molecule: ribosomal RNA, 308 nt
Filed under: Rossellomorea aquimaris
Lineage: Bacteria; Bacillati; Bacillota; Bacilli; Caryophanales; Bacillaceae
Description: bacterial SSU rRNA
Rfam family: Bacterial small subunit ribosomal RNA
Source: RNAcentral